UAUAAUGCAAGUCGAGCGAAUGGAUUAAGAGCUUGCUCUUAUGAAGUUAGCGGCGGACGGGUGAGUAACACGUGGGUAACCUGCCCAUAAGACUGGGAUAACUCCGGGAAACCGGGGCUAAUACCGGAUAACAUUUUGAACUGCAUGGUUCGAAAUUGAAAGGCGGCUUCGGCUGUCACUUAUGGAUGGACCCGCGUCGCAUUAGCUAGUUGGUGAGGUAACGGCUCACCAAGGCAACGAUGCGUAGCCGACCUGAGAGGGUGAUCGGCCACACUGGGACUGAGACACGGCCCAGACUCCUACGGGAGGCAGCAGUAGGGAAUCUUCCGCAAUGGACGAAAGUCUGACGGAGCAACGCCGCGUGAGUGAUGAAGGCUUUCGGGUCGUAAAACUCUGUUGUUAGGGAAGAACAAGUGCUAGUUGAAUAAGCUGGCACCUUGACGGUACCUAACCAGAAAGCCACGGCUAACUACGUGCCAGCAGCCGCGGUAAUACGUAGGUGGCAAGCGUUAUCCGGAAUUAUUGGGCGUAAAGCGCGCGCAGGUGGUUUCUUAAGUCUGAUGUGAAAGCCCACGGCUCAACCGUGGAGGGUCAUUGGAAACUGGGAGACUUGAGUGCAGAAGAGGAAAGUGGAAUUCCAUGUGUAGCGGUGAAAUGCGUAGAGAUAUGGAGGAACACCAGUGGCGAAGGCGACUUUCUGGUCUGUAACUGACACUGAGGCGCGAAAGCGUGGGGAGCAACAGGAUUAGAUACCCUGGUAGUCCACGCCGUAACGAUGAGUGCUAAGUGUUAGAGGGUUUCCGCCCUUUAGUGCUGAAGUUAACGCAUAAGCACUCCGCCUGGGGAGUACGGCCGCAAGGCUGAAACUCAAGGAAUUGACGGGGGCCCGCACAAGCGGUGGAGCAUGUGGUUUAAUUCGAAGCAACGCGAGAACCUUACCAGGUCUUGACAUCCUCUGAAAACCCUAGAGAUAGGGCUUCUCCUUCGGGAGCAGAGUGACAGUGGUGCAUGGUUGUCGUCAGCUCGUGUCGUGAGAUGUUGGGGUAGUCCCGCACGAGCGCA
Molecule: ribosomal RNA, 1062 nt
Filed under: Bacillus sp. (in: firmicutes)
Lineage: Bacteria; Bacillati; Bacillota; Bacilli; Caryophanales; Bacillaceae
Description: bacterial SSU rRNA
Rfam family: Bacterial small subunit ribosomal RNA
Source: RNAcentral